GGCGCUCUAACGGGGUGCCGGGCGCCAUUUUUGGCGGAUCGGCUGAGAGGCAGACAUGCCAACCCGCUGAACCUGAUCCGGUUUGUACCGGCGGAGGGAUUAGACGUUUCGGACCA
RNAcentral lists this non-coding RNA (116 nucleotides) under Mesorhizobium sp. RNAcentral's name for it is "TPP sequence". It matches the Rfam family "TPP riboswitch aptamer (THI element)". From Rfam's summary of the family: Vitamin B(1) in its active form thiamin pyrophosphate (TPP) is an essential coenzyme that is synthesised by coupling of pyrimidine and thiazole moieties in bacteria. The previously detected thiamin-regulatory element, thi box was extended, resulting in a new, highly conserved RNA secondary structure, the THI element, which is widely distributed in eubacteria and also occurs in some archaea. Lineage: Bacteria; Pseudomonadati; Pseudomonadota; Alphaproteobacteria; Hyphomicrobiales; Phyllobacteriaceae. The record is from RNAcentral.